Molecule: long non-coding RNA, 2600 nt
Filed under: Triticum aestivum (bread wheat)
Lineage: Eukaryota; Viridiplantae; Streptophyta; Magnoliopsida; Poales; Poaceae
Description: long non-coding RNA (TAES_LNC003659)
Source: RNAcentral
UUGUAUUUCCUCUUAUGGACGGCCCCCUCGCUAGCUCCUUGAUGUUUGUCCUACCCCAGUAAGAUCUGUGACAUGUUCAUGGCGUUGAUGUGGAGAAGCUCAACGUCAAUGGAAUAUCCCUCUCCAUUUUGACAUCAGACAAGGUGGUAUUAAUCUUUUAUGUGUAAGUAUCUACUGCACAUACUGUCUUUCCUAGGUGUUCUUCUUUUCCAUCUGUACUACCUCACCUACUGUCAAAUGUUUGUGCUAGGUUGCUGACUUUUCUGGUGUGGAGUUUGCUUAUUUUGGGUUCUUCGUUGUGUUGGUAGGAUUUUUGCCGUGAGUUGUUCCUUUGGCACUAUCUGUAGGAAGCAGAGCCAAGCGAGGUUCUUAUAUCUGAGCAUAUUAAUCUCAUGCAUUAGUUUGUAAGCUAUGGGGUUGCAGGCUUAAACUCAAAAUUGUCUUGCAAUGUAUUAGACUGUACCCUGGAACCUAGGCACAACCAUCUAUAUACAUUGUUCUAUCUUGCAGAUUGGGAUCCCUGUCAGUUGCUUCCCCUUUUUUGUUUCCAAUUAUGUCAUCUUUGCAAAUUUAUGUUGUGCAUGUACACACGUUUUUUGGAUAACUGCAUGAGAGAAAGCUUACAAGUAGAUGAGUUACAGAUCUUCCAUGAAUCCUAUUGUCCUUGCAGACCUACAACAACAAACUUUCGAUUACGUAUAUGCUUACUGUUUGUUCAGUUGGCAUACUUCAGAUUGCAUUGGUUAGGUUAUAGUCCAUGUGUGUAGGUCUGGAUAGCAUAAGCUUCUGUUGAGAGCACUUUGAUCAGGUGGCACUGCACAUCUCAAAUCACCACAAGUUUGUUCUUCACCUAUACAGUACAGUCACAGUCACCCGCCAAGAACUUGAAAUUGGAACCAGAGAGUAGUAAUUUCUUAGGGAGAUAGCUCAAUGUUGUAUAAAAGGAGAUUUAUGAGAUUUAAGUCCUGAAAAAUUUAAUGGUAUUUUGUCUUUCAGGUUCCUCUAUAUCUGCUGCAAGGCUUGGAUUGCCAUAUAAGGCCGAAUUCAGCACAUAAGAAAGCAGAACAAUUCAUUGAUAGUGUCACGGUUUGAUCCAGCUCGAUGGCGAGCUCCUCUGCCCUCCCUGAGCCCGGUGAUGAUUUGUACGGUUAGUCUUCCCUGCACGGUGGUGGGCGAAGGAGGUGUACGUCUCUGCAAGUUUGUUGUGCCUCCCUCAGGUUCCGUGAUGGCCGACGGCGAGGUGCCCACCGGUGAGCUUUUUUUCCUUGGUUGCCUUUCUAUUAUUGUGAUUCGGUUUGUGAUGCUCUGCUGCUCAUCUAGGUUGAUGGUGGAGCUGUGAUCCAAAGUUGGAGCGUGCCCUUUCGUUGGUGCCGUCAUUCUCUCCUCCACGACCAUCGUUGUCACGAGCCUAAGUAGCUUGGUUGGGUAUCGACGGCGUUGGUGGACCUAAUAGGUCCGUAUCUUUCUCUAAAAAGAAAAGCACAACGAGUUAUCUAUAUUUUGUCUGUAUGUGGUUCUAUACCUUUUUUUGCUAAUUUCUAAGUGAUUUUUAACCCAUUGUGAUACUGAAAACCUGAUAAAGAAUAUAUUUUAUGACUGGAUGUUUGAUGUGGGGCUGGAAGAAUUAUAGUUUUGUUUUGUACAUAAAUCUUCUAUGUAGUCAUGGUACUAAAUGUCCUAACAUAUACCCGUAUGUUCUGUUUAUCUCCUACAAAUAGUGAAAUGGUCUAUAUGUAAAGUAUUUAUGUUUAGUUAUAUUAUGUUGUCGACGAUGCGUGGUUCUGGAACAUGGAGAUUAACAUUGAAGCUUUUGGUAUCUUGAAUUCUUAUGCUUUGUUAUUAACUUGAUGUGAUCUAGUUUUUUCUAUUUGGCAUUGCCACUGACCUGCUUCCAGUGUCGUAUAACUAAACUCUUUUGGCUGAACUGGACGCAGAUUAAUUGUCCUGCCUUGCUUUUGGAACAAAUUAAAUGUAUCUUCUUUUUCAUGAGCCUGCAGAUCAAUUAUUCCAUAGAUACUAAUACACUCAUUAGUUUCAAACAAGUACUGUAAUUUCCAAUGUACCAAAUGAUUUACAGUAUAGUGAAAUCUUACACGCUGGACCAAUUUAAUGUUUCUUCUUUCUCUUAAACCAAAAAAAAUUGUUGUCUUGUUGAAUACGUAUGCUAAACCAUGUUUCCUACUAACGCAUCAUAUCUUUUGAUCAUUACCUUCUUGACCACAUCGUUGGGACAUGCACAGGUUCAUGUGAAGUGGUGCCUAUGAAGAUCAUCGACAAGGCAGUUGAGUGGAGUCACUUAUUAGUAUGAAGUGGCGCUUAUGAAGUUGAUCGACAAGGCAGUUGAGUGAAGCCACUUAUUAGUAUGCUUAGUAGUUCUGGCUUUGUAGUUGUCUCUCCUUUGUUACGCUUGUGGUAUCAAACUUCCAUGUCGAGUGGCUGCGUUUUUGGUGUCGAACUUCGUGUCAGGUGGCUAUCUUUUGUGUUCUUAUGAACGCACUGAAACCAAUUCUACCUUAUAAUCUCAAGCCGACACUGAGCCCAUGCCUUUCUUCUAUAAUAGUUGAAUGUUUCUUCUUCACUUUAUUGUUAUUAUGUAUGAA